AAGUCGUAACAAGGUUUCCGUAGGUGAACCUGCGGAAGGAUCAUUAACGAACAAUGGGGCUCGCCCCUUGUCUCACAAACACACCCCCCGUGCACGCUAUCGAAAGGCCGGCUUGUUGGGAGACCCGCGGGCCUGGCCGUUCGUUUCACAAACUCGAGAAUGUCUGUCAGAAUGUCUAUUGGGUGUAACGAUACAAUAAUAUAACUUUCAGCAACGGAUCUCUUGGCUCUC
RNAcentral lists this unclassified non-coding RNA (231 nucleotides) under Wolfiporiella dilatohypha. Its description in RNAcentral is "Wolfiporia dilatohypha partial internal transcribed spacer region". The stretch from base 1 to 46 matches the Rfam family "Eukaryotic small subunit ribosomal RNA", at positions 1786 to 1831 of the family's 1831-position model. Lineage: Eukaryota; Fungi; Basidiomycota; Agaricomycetes; Polyporales; Laetiporaceae. The record is from RNAcentral.